RNAcentral lists this ribosomal RNA (507 nucleotides) under uncultured Glomeraceae. RNAcentral's name for it is "SSU rRNA". It matches the Rfam family "Eukaryotic small subunit ribosomal RNA", at positions 569 to 1078 of the family's 1831-position model. The record is from RNAcentral. Lineage: Eukaryota; Fungi; Glomeromycota; Glomeromycetes; Glomerales; Glomeraceae.
AGCAGCCGCGGUAAUUCCAGCUUCAAUAGCGUAUAUUAAAGUUGUUGCAGUUAAAAAGCUCGUAGUUGAAUUUCGAGACCGGCUUACUGGUCGUGCUAUUGUACGUACUGGUAUAAUCGGUUUCUCCCUUCUGACGAACUAUAAUGCCAUUAAUUUGGUGUUUUAGGGAAUCAGGACUGUUACUUUGAAAAAAUUAGAGUGUUUAAAGCAGGCUCACGCUUGAAUACAUUAGCAUGGAAUAACGGAAUAGGACGUUUGAUUCUAUUUUGUUGGUUUCUAGGAUCGACGUAAUGAUUAAUAGGGAUAGUUGGGGGCAUUAGUAUUCAAUUGUCAGAGGUGAAAUUCUUGGAUUUAUUGAAGACUAACUACUGCGAAAGCAUUUGCCAAGGAUGUUUUCAUUAAUCAAGAACGAAAGUUAGGGGAUCGAAGACGAUCAGAUACCGUCGUAGUCUUAACCAUAAACUAUGCCGACUAGGGAUCGGAUGAUGUUAAUUUUUUAAUGACUCA